AAAAGAUGUUAAUAGUAUAUGUGAUGAAGACAUGACUUAAUGAUAUUUAUCAAACAUCACAUAUUUAAGUUAAUAUAUUUAACGAGAUUAGAGUUUGGGUUAAUAUUAUAUAUAAUUUAAAAGUUUAAGGUAUUAAUAAUUUAUUUUAUUUCUUUACAUACGAAUUUGUACAUAUUCCCUAACUUCAUAUAUUAAAUAUGUAAUUAAUCCAUUGUUAACUAUGAAUAUGUUUGCCGAUAAUUUGGUUGCUAUGCUCAUAAAUUUCAAGUAAAAAAUAAUACUUGAAAAAUUAGAGACAAAUAAUAAUUUUAUUUAUCCACUUGUAAAAUACAACCUUUAAAAAUUCUUAAAGCAAAAAUAAAAAAAUUUCUAAUUCUUUUUUCCACAAAAAAUCCAUUUCAAGGCUUUGGAAGACUUGGCCUUGAAUUUAAUAAAUUUGGACUUCACUUAAAGGGUCUUGAUGAUUAGAUCUUGAAUUGAAGAAAUUGGGACUUCACUUUAAGGGUCUUUAAUGACUUAACCUUGAAUAGAAGAAAUUUGGGCUUUGUUUCAAGGUCUUGAUGACUUGAUCAUGAAUUGGAGAAAUUUGAACUUCGCUUCAAGAGUCUUGAUGAUUUGUUCUUGAAUUGAAGAAGUUAAAGACUUAAAUUCAAGGGUUUUGAUAACUUGACCUUGAAUUGAAGAAAUUUUAACUUUACUUCAAGGGUCUUUGAUGAUUUAUUCUUGGAUUGAAGAAAUUUCGACCCAAAAUUUUGGAGUUUCCUUGAGAUCUUCGAAUUUGAUCUCAAAAUUUAAGGAGUUUUGGAAAUCUUGGUAUUUUGUCCCAAUUUAGGGAUUCUUGAUAUUUGGUCAUAACUUUGAGAUUCUUGGCAUUUAGUGUCAAUUUAGGGAUUUUUUACAUUUGAUCCCAAUUUGAGGAUUCUUAGAAUUUGGUCCUAAUUAGGGAUUCUUAGAUCUUAGAUCUUGAUCUCAAUUUAAGGAUUCUUGGAUCUUCAUGCUUUGAUCUUUAGAUUUUCCUUCUUGGAUUUGUUUUCUUGGAAUUCUCGAGACUUUAUUCUUUAGAUCUUCCAUCUUAGACUUGUGGGAAUUCUGAAGACUUUGAUUCUUUGAUUAUUCUCUUCCCAAUUUGCCUUCUUGAUAUUCAAUCCCUAAGAAUUAUCUUCUUAAUAUUCAUAUCUUUAUUCCUUAAGAAUUCUCCAAGACUUCUUUCUUCCUAGAAUUGUGAAUUGUGACUUUGGAAUAGCUUUGUAUAUAUAAUGCUAGCCUACUAGGAGAGAGAGUGUUUUAAAGGAAAUCAAUUUUUUUGAUUUUAUCUAUAAAUAACUAUAGUUUAGUUAAAGAUAAAAAUUGAUUACUCAUGGGUGAGAUCU
Molecule: long non-coding RNA, 1370 nt
Filed under: Durio zibethinus
Lineage: Eukaryota; Viridiplantae; Streptophyta; Magnoliopsida; Malvales; Malvaceae
Description: long non-coding RNA (DZIB_LNC001672)
Source: RNAcentral